CACGGUUUGUGCGACGCAGCUAACGCAUUAAGCGCCCCGCCUGGGGAGUACGAUCGCAAGAUUAAAACUCAAAGGAAUUGACGGGGCCCCGCACAAGCAGCGGAGCAUGCGGCUUAAUUCGACGCAACGCGAAGAACCUUACCAAGGCUUGACAUAUACAGGAAUAUGGCAGAGAUGUCAUAGCCGCAAGGUCUGUAUACAGGUGGUGCAUGGUUGUCGUCAGCUCGUGUCGUGAGAUGUUGGGUUAAGUCCCGCAACGAGCGCAACCCUCGUUCUGUGUUGCCAGCAUUUAGUUGGGGACUCACAGGAGACUGCCGGGGUUAACUCGGAGGAAGGUGGGGAUGACGUCAAAUCAUCAUGCCCCUUAUGUCUUGGGCUGCACGCAUGCUACAAUGGCUGGUACAAACGGCUGCGAUACCGCAAGGUGGAGCGAAUCCGAUAAAGCCAGUCUCAGUUCGGAUUGGGGUCUGCAACUCGACCCCAUGAAGUCGGAGUUGCUAGUAAUCGUAGAUCAGCAACGCUACGGUGAAUACGUUCCCGGGGCUUGUACACACCGCCCGUCACAUCACGAAAGUCGGUAACACCCAAA
This 589-nucleotide ribosomal RNA is filed under the name uncultured Actinomycetes bacterium. RNAcentral's name for it is "bacterial SSU rRNA". It matches the Rfam family "Bacterial small subunit ribosomal RNA", at positions 833 to 1425 of the family's 1533-position model. Lineage: Bacteria; Bacillati; Actinomycetota; Actinomycetes. The record is from RNAcentral.